This 221-nucleotide ribosomal RNA is filed under the name uncultured bacterium. RNAcentral describes it as "partial 16S ribosomal RNA". It matches the Rfam family "Bacterial small subunit ribosomal RNA", at positions 113 to 334 of the family's 1533-position model. The record is from RNAcentral.
CGACGUGGAUAACCUGCCUCACACAGGGGGAUAACAGUUAGAAAUGACUGCUAAUACCGCAUAAGCGCACGGCAUCGCAUGAUGCAAUGUGAAAAACUCCGGUGGUGUGAGAUGGAUCCGCGUCUGAUUAGGUAGUUGGUGGGGUAACGGCCCACCAAGCCGACGAUCAGUAGCCGACCUGAGAGGGUGACCGGCCACAUUGGGACUGAGACACGGCCCAA